UCGGGAAUUUUGGGCAAUGGGCGAAAGCCUGACCCAGCAACGCCGCGUGAGGGAUGAAGGCCUUCGGGUCGUAAACCUCUGUCGGGAGGGGCGAAAGGCGCGCGGGUGAACAAUCCGCGUACUUGACGGUACCUCCAAAGGAAGCGCCGGCUAACUCCGUGCCAGCAGCCGCGGUAAUACGGAGGGCGCAAGCGUUGUUCGGAAUUACUGGGCGUAAAGCGCGUGUAGGCGGCCAGGUAAGUCGGAUGUGAAAUCCCGGGGCCCAACCCCGGAACUGCACCCGAUACUGCCCGGCUGGAGUCCCGGAGAGGAUGGCGGAAUUUCCGGUGUAGAGGUGAAAUUCGUAGAUAUCGGAAGGACACCAGUGGCGAAGCGGCCAUCUGGACGGUGACUGACGCUGAGACGCGAAAGCGUGGGGAGCGAAACAGGAUUAGAUACCCUGGUAGUCCACGCCGUAAACGUUGGGUGCUAGACGUACGGGGGUAUUGACCCCUCCGGUGUCGAAGCUAACGCAUUAAGCACCCCGCU
RNAcentral lists this ribosomal RNA (528 nucleotides) under uncultured Pseudomonadota bacterium. RNAcentral describes it as "bacterial SSU rRNA". It matches the Rfam family "Bacterial small subunit ribosomal RNA", at positions 355 to 873 of the family's 1533-position model. Lineage: Bacteria; Pseudomonadati; Pseudomonadota. The record is from RNAcentral.